UUUCCGUAGGUGAACCUGCGGAAGGAUCAUUGUCGAAACCUGCCCAGCAGAACGACCCGCGAACUUGUAUAAACAACCGGGGGCGGGGGGCGUUCUCGCCCCGUGCCCCCGAACGGCGGGGAGACACUCGUGCCUUCUUGCCGAACAACGAACCCCGGCGCGGUCUGCGCCAAGGAACUUCAACUAAAGAGUGCCUCCGGUCGCCUCGGAAACGGCGUGCGUGCCGGGGGCGAAUCUUGUGCAAAACCAUAACGACUCUCGGCAACGGAUAUCUCGGCUCUCGCAUCGAUGAGAACGCAGC
This 301-nucleotide unclassified non-coding RNA is filed under the name plant metagenome. RNAcentral describes it as "partial contains small subunit ribosomal RNA, internal transcribed spacer 1, and 5.8S ribosomal RNA". The record is from RNAcentral.